CGUAGAGUUUAGAGUAAUCAUUGCUGGCGUAAACGUGGUGUUUAGGCUGGGGUACUCAUAGAUAUUCCCUGACUAGCUGGACCGUGGUAGUAGCGAGGAACGUGACAAUUCCGAGUUACCUUUGCAGACCAUAUCUCGUUAGCAGGAAGGAUAUGGUUUAUAGGUGCGGGUUGAACAUCCUUUGUGGUGCCUAGAUUCCGUUAGCCUCCCCAAUAGAACAGUAGAUCAUCCUUACCAAGGUUAGAAGGAGACUACGGUUGCAGUCUUCUCUAUUUAUCACUCACAUCGAAAGACAUUCUUUGUUGCCUAAAGGUUAGUAGUAAUAGACCAGUUAGUCAGAUGCACUCUUUCUCCUAGUGGUAAAAAAAUAAAUACGAUACUCUGGAUAAUUUCACGGGUGAAGUGCUCACCGAUAUCCGUGCGCUUACGGAUCAAUUCCUUAUUGCGUUUCCAAAUAUCAACAAUGCGUUCAAGCAAGAUCUCAUCUCUGAGUUAAAGUAAACUGUUAAGACUUAAAAAUUACUCAUUUUACCUUUCACCAUGGGGCUUGCAACCGUCACUUGUGCCUCGAGCAGUUAAAAGAUAGAACAGUCAAGUCAAGCGCCAUGUCUCGUAUUCUUGACCAGCUAUAGCUCUAGAGUUUUUGCAGAUUUUCAAAUAAAACUUAGAGAUUCCUUGUAUGACUCUCUCAAAUCUCUAUUUUGUGGUAUUUCUGGAUCCUUUCCAAGGCAGUAAUGGUAUAUACCUUCUCUCAAAGUAUGUGGUAUUUUUGGUAUGAGGCAUAGUGAUAUUGCCUUCUCUCUCACCCUACUCUUGUAAGGUUUUGAUAUCUGGAGCUCAUAGGUGGGAGACAGAUAAUACAUACUUACAAGACAUUUAUUGGAUAGUCAAACCAUGGAUCCAGAGAAACAAGUCAAUAAGUCAAAUCAAGAUGUGCAUGUGUGGCGAAUGAAUGGUGUAGGGUGAUGAUGGUGAUAAUGGAGAAAACAAGGGUGAAAGUUUUUUGAGGAGAAUGAGAUGCUCUCUAUUUUCUUUUUAUUUUCUCUCAGGUGGGUAUCUUGUACCCCUAAUUCUACUGUCAGACACUUGUCCAUUUUUACCUCUCGUCUCACUUUUUAUUUUCUUCGAGGUUUCGGGCACUUGCCCCUUUUUAUUUCCUCGUAUUUUUUUCCUUUUCUUUUUUUCAGAGCACUCACCCUCCUGGAAUAAUGUAGCAAGUGGUAGUAACCAAAAUAUCUUGAGCAUUUAUUUCACGGGGAAUAACAGGGAUAGGAUAAUGUUUUUGGCUAUUCUCUUCCGGAUAGGAGUAGAAUCAUUUUAGGUGAAUCUGGGGAUGGAAAUGAGUGGAUGUAUGUGGAUGCGUACUUCCAGAGUAGAAGUAGCAUGUAUGAGUGAACGUGGAAGUGAAUCUUGAUUUUAACCGCAUGACAAGUUCCUAAGGGUCCACAUAACUUGACCACACUCAAUGCUUAUAAGUAGUAAAAAGUAAAUGUACGGUUCAUAGUCUAAUAAGCAUGUAUAUGUGGCUCUAGUAGGAUUUUAAACUCUCAUCAUACAGGAACUCAUCAUGCAACAUUUUAAAGAUUUUCAAAGAUAAAAUUCUCCAGAAUUCUAGCAUCUCUAGGAACAGAUAAACAGCAGCUCAACCUUCCCAUAUCAUAUCCGUUAACGAUUUAGACUUUAGAUCAAGUACUCUUCCCACAAGUUCAGGUUUAGAGCAAAUCUUAAUUUAUAACAGUCAUGCCUAAACAUGAGAGAGAAUUCAAUUUUGAGAACUAGUCAUGGCAGAGCAAAUACUCAUCAUUUCCAUGUGAGAGCUUAUCAUGAGGGUUCAUAGCAAACUUUAUUUAUUUAUUUAUUUAGAAACUAAGCAUAGAUAUAUAUAUAUAUAUAUAUAUAUAAGCAUAAAAUAUUUAUUUGGGUUUUUAUGAUUAUGCAUCUUUUUAUUAUUUGAAUAAAGUAUAAACGCGAGUAGAAACACUUAGCUAGAUAAAUGGGGGUGCUCUCCCCAAGCUAGAUUUUGACGUAAUUUCUUUUGAUAUAGCUAGCACGUGGCGGAGGUGUAUUUGAAUGUUGGCAGCACCCUGACAGCGAUUAGGAUGUCAUCCGUCUCCUAGUCUUCUUUGAUCCUUGAAUUCUUUCGGCGAGGGUUCAAUGUUUUAAGUCUUCUGAACAAGUCUUCUCACCGUGUUCAUUCUUUAGGUGCGUCAUUUGAUUCAGGUGUGGACCUUGAUGUCUGCACCUCUUGAUACGGUGUCACCCAUGUUCUUCGUUUGCCCAGCAGUUCGAAGUGCGGCGUUGGCAGUAACCUGCUCAGUGUGUUUGUCCUCGUAGAUCCAGGUUCUUCACUUGGUGGAUUCUGGGAGUUGUAAAACUCCCCCAUAUUUUGCUCGAAGUGUACCUGCUCAUAGAGACAAGGCAGAGAUCAAGUGCAUGGGCCCUGUUGGUGGAAAACACCGACAGAACCAAAAGUGUAUUUGUUCUUCUCUAACCUUAAGCAUAGUGAACAAGACAAAGUUGAUUGAUGAUAAGUUCAUGAGUGUAGCACUUAUAACAUUUGUCAGAUCAGAUUGCUUCAACCUUAUGGAAAGAUAAUCUAUCUAUGUAUAUGUCAUUUUCUUUAUAUCUCUCAAAGAUUGAAUGUGUAACAUUUUAGCUCAUAUGAUUAGGAGUGUGGGAUCAUGGAGGUAGUACUAGGAACAGAGAUUAAAGGACUAAACAUGCUGAAUCAGUUGGGUUGGUUAAUUUGGAGUUAUAGAUCAUACAUUUUUGUCUCUUUAUUUAUGUGAACGGUAGAACCAAGGAAAAGCUUAUAAAAGUGAUAGCCACAUGUCUUGAUAUGUUACCUUAAUUGAAGAGUGAUGGUACCAUCUCACCUUGUGGAAGCUUCUCUUUCUUAGUGAUUGUGCAUCGUGUUUGUGGCACUCUCCAAGGAUCAUCUCUUAUGAGCUACGUCUUCCUUAUGUAAAUUGUUAAACUUUAUGUGUCUCUCUCCUUGUCUCCAAUGUGAGUUUAUCUCAGGACUUCCUAGGUUGAUAUUAAAAGUUUUCCUGCAGGGGUUAGUCCGACAAAAUAUACCAAUAUCUACUCAAGCCGUUUUUAGUUCAGUAACCAAACUAGACUCCAUGUCUAAUCAGAUUA
This 3141-nucleotide long non-coding RNA is filed under the name Sorghum bicolor (sorghum). RNAcentral describes it as "long non-coding RNA (SBIC_LNC017774)". The record is from RNAcentral. Lineage: Eukaryota; Viridiplantae; Streptophyta; Magnoliopsida; Poales; Poaceae.